UCCUCCCUCUGGCGGCGUGCUUAACACAUGCAAGUCGAACGGAAAGGCCCUGCUUUUGUGGGGUGCUCGAGUGGCGAACGGGUGAGUAACACGUGAGUAACCUGCCCUUGACUUUGGGAUAACUUCAGGAAACUGGGGCUAAUACCGGAUAGGAGCUCCUGCUGCAUGGUGGGGGUUGGAAAGUUUCGGCGGUUGGGGAUGGACUCGCGGCUUAUCAGCUUGUUGGUGGGGUAGUGGCUUACCAAGGCUUUGACGGGUAGCCGGCCUGAGAGGGUGACCGGCCACAUUGGGACUGAGAUACGGCCCAGACUCCUACGGGAGGCAGCAGUGGGGAAUAUUGCACAAUGGGCGGAAGCCUGAUGCAGCAACGCCGCGUGCGGGAUGACGGCCUUCGGGUUGUAAACCUCUUUCGCCUGUGGCGAAGCGUGAGUGACGGUAAUGGGUAAAGAAGCACCGGCUAACUACGUG
This 468-nucleotide ribosomal RNA is filed under the name uncultured bacterium. RNAcentral's name for it is "partial 16S ribosomal RNA". It matches the Rfam family "Bacterial small subunit ribosomal RNA", at positions 36 to 507 of the family's 1533-position model. The record is from RNAcentral.